Molecule: ribosomal RNA, 502 nt
Filed under: Phomopsis sp. Y2
Lineage: Eukaryota; Fungi; Ascomycota; Sordariomycetes; Diaporthales; Diaporthaceae
Description: eukaryotic LSU rRNA
Rfam family: 5.8S ribosomal RNA (bases 144-297)
Source: RNAcentral
UUGUGAACUUAUACCUUACUGUUGCCUCGGCGCAUGCCGGCCCCCCCUGGGGGCCCCUCCUUCUGGAGGAGCAGGCACGCCGGCGGCCAACCUAACUCUUGUUUUUACACUGAAACUCUGAGAAUAAAACAUAAAUGAAUCAAAACUUUCAACAACGGAUCUCUUGGUUCUGGCAUCGAUGAAGAACGCAGCGAAAUGCGAUAAGUAAUGUGAAUUGCAGAAUUCAGUGAAUCAUCGAAUCUUUGAACGCACAUUGCGCCCUCUGGUAUUCCGGAGGGCAUGCCUGUUCGAGCGUCAUUUCAACCCUCAAGCCUGGCUUGGUGAUGGGGCACUGCCUGUAAAAGGGCAGGCCCUGAAAUUCAGUGGCGAGCUCGCCAGGACCCCGAGCGCAGUAGUUAAACCCUCGCUCUGGAAGGCCCUGGCGGUGCCCUGCCGUUAAACCCCCAACUUCUGAAAAUUUGACCUCGGAUCAGGUAGGAAUACCCGCUGAACUUAAGCAUAU